AGUGAACGCUGGCGGCAGGCCUAACACAUGCAAGUCGAGCGGCAGCGCGGGUGUAGCAAUACAUCUGGCGGCGAGCGGCGGACGGGUGAGGAAUACAUCGGAAUUUACCCAAUCGUGGGGGAUAACGUAGGGAAACUUACGCUAAUACCGCAUGAACUGGAGACAGCAAAGCGGCGGACCUUCGGGCGUCGCGCGGUUGGAUGAGCCGAUGUCGGAUUAGCUAGUGGCGGGGUAAAGGCCCACCAAGGCGACGAUCCGUAGCUGGUCUGAGAGGAUGAUCAGCCACACUGGAACUGAGACACGGUCCAGACUCCUACGGGAGGCAGCAGUGGGAAUAUUGGACAAUGGGCGCAAGCCUGAUCCAG
Molecule: ribosomal RNA, 365 nt
Filed under: uncultured bacterium
Lineage: Bacteria
Description: bacterial SSU rRNA
Rfam family: Bacterial small subunit ribosomal RNA
Source: RNAcentral